AGCUGAUCUAGUUAAAAACAUUUUAUUUAAAAUAAAAACUAGUAAAAUUAAAAACUAAAUUUUCGGCUGCGAACUGCAAGCCUUCAUCAGAGUAUGUGGCAAGAGUCAUUACACCUCUAUUUAUAAUGUUUGUCGUUCCGCUUGAUUUCAUCUGCUAAUAUAGAAUAACAAGCCGGAAAUUCAGUAUGUUCAUUAGCCGUGUUUUCACUAAGAGUGGAAUGUAAAGCCUCUAAGAAAAUCCUUUGUUCGUAGUUCUUAACACCCUUUUC
Paramuricea clavata is the source of this 269-nucleotide non-coding RNA. The record is from the annotation of a GenBank genome assembly. Lineage: Eukaryota; Metazoa; Cnidaria; Anthozoa; Malacalcyonacea; Plexauridae.